ACGACGAAAACCUUACCUACCCUUGACAUGUCUGGAACCUUGGUGAGAGCCGAGGGUGCCUUCGGGAGCCAGAACACAGGUGCUGCAUGGCUGUCGUCAGCUCGUGUCGUGAGAUGUUGGGUUAAGUCCCGCAACGAGCGCAACCCUUAUCAUUAGUUGCUACGCAAGGGCACUCUAAUGAGACUGCCGGUGACAAACCGGAGGAAGUGGGGAUGACGUCAAGUCCUCAUGGCCCUUAUGGGUAGGGCUUCACACGUCAUACAAUGGUCGGUACAGAGGGUUGCCAAGCCGCGAGGCGGAGCCAAUCCCACAAAGCCGAUCGUAGUCCGGAUUGUUCUCUGCAACUCGAGAGCAUGAAGUCGGAAUCGCUAGUAAUCGCGGAUCAGCAUGUCGCGGUGAAUACGUUCCCGGGCCUU
This 416-nucleotide ribosomal RNA is filed under the name uncultured Thiobacillus sp. Its description in RNAcentral is "bacterial SSU rRNA". It matches the Rfam family "Bacterial small subunit ribosomal RNA", at positions 959 to 1382 of the family's 1533-position model. Lineage: Bacteria; Pseudomonadati; Pseudomonadota; Betaproteobacteria; Nitrosomonadales; Thiobacillaceae. The record is from RNAcentral.